RNAcentral lists this ribosomal RNA (438 nucleotides) under uncultured bacterium. RNAcentral's name for it is "bacterial SSU rRNA". It matches the Rfam family "Bacterial small subunit ribosomal RNA", at positions 958 to 1397 of the family's 1533-position model. The record is from RNAcentral.
AACGCGAAGAACCUUACCUGGGUUUGACAUCCCACGAAUUUUACAGAGAUGUAAAGACUCGCAAGAGACGUGGAGACAGGUGCUGCAUGGCUGUCGUCAGCUCGUGUUGUGAAAUGUUGGGUUAAGUCCCGCAACGAGCGCAACCCUUGCCUUUGGUUGCCAACAUAUAAGGUGGGCACUCCAGAGGGACUGCCGUCGUCAAGACGGAGGAAGGUGGGGAUGACGUCAAGUCCUCAUGGCCUUUAUAUCCAGGGCGACACACGUGAUACAAUGGUAGGUACAGAGGGUAGCGAAGUGGUGACACGGAGCCAAUCCCAAAAAGCCUAUCUCAGUUCGGAUUGGAGUCUGCAACUCGACUCUAUGAAGUUGGAAUCGCUAGUAAUCGCGGAUCAGCACGCCGCGGUGAAUACGUUCCCGGGCCUUGUACACACCGGCUAC